GUUACAUGAGUUCUUCCGUAAUGUAUGUAUGUUAUUGUCUUUGUAUACUUAUAUCCAUUCCUUGUUUGCAUUGUAGGAUUGUCUCAGCACCACUAACCUACUGGAUCUUCAAAGGUCAGCGUCUUGCAAAACUUGGGUUCAAAAUAUCACUCCUGUCCCUUCACCUAAACAUGUCAGAGUCAUAUAAUCAAACUUUGCUAUUGGGCAUGAACAAAUGGUAAAGACUCUCCUUUCUGACUGAAAUCUAUGGAAUCAUUCCCAUCACCUUAAUGUAACAUCACCAGUACUGUAUUCUGCUGCUCUGUUCUACAGAUGGCCCUGCAGCCUGCAGUUCCACAGAGACAUUGGUAAGCAUUUCAGAAAGAAGCUUGUGGCCAAUGAAGGGUGGCUCAAGAACUACUCAAUAUUCAUUCAUUCCUGAACAACUUUUUUCAUUCAGAGUUGGGAAUUUGGAGUUUGAGGUUCACACAAAGGUUCCAGCUAAAGGAACAGAAAAUAAAACCAGGACCUGAUUGUUAAAAAAAAAAACAGUUUGUGUAAUCAAAUGAUGUUGGCUUCCAAAGUAAUCCCCUCUGUAAAAUGGGGCAGAGUCUAUUUCCUACAGAAGAAAACAAAAAUGAAUCUAGUAACUAGUGAAAUGCUGAAAGAAUUGCAAACAUAAAUAAUAAAUUGAUCAACAAUUAUUAGAUUGGCAAGAAAUUUUCUGCAAUUCAGAGUGUUUUUUAAAACUUAGACAAAAAUUGUCUGAAUUAUCUGGGUAUAUCCUAAUAAAAAGAGAAGAAAACAGGAUAAAUGUUGAAGAACCACAUUAGGACCUGCUGGUUUUACAAAGCAAUUUCCUUCUCUAGUCUUUGAAGAAUAUGUUAUAAGAAUUAUCUUUGAUUAUUGAAAAGUAUGGUACAUUUCUUGAAAUUAUCCUCAGAGGGAAAUGUGCUAGUAACGAUUCAGAUAAAAAUGAUUCAAAAAAUGAGAAUAAUACAAAAGGUAAGAUUGCUAUAUAAAAAAAGAAAAAUGCGGCCUGUUCUCACUUAGGAAUACAAACACUAUGAUAGCAACCAUUUAAUGUAAAACUACUCCAUGCCAAUCACUUGUUAGCUCAAUGAAUGAUCAUAACAACCCAUAAGUAUGCAUUGUGAUGUCCCUAUGCUAAAAUGACUCUUGUCCACAGCGGCAAAGUAACAGCACUGCUCUAGCAGAACAAAGAUUCUAAAGCAGUUUCCUCUGAUGACAGGAGCCACACUUUUAACUUCUGCUCAUACUGAAAACAACUAUAGUGAAGUCCAGUUCCAUUUGAGCUCACUGAUGUGAGCAUGUUAACUAAAUGCUACAAAUAAAAUAUAGAAAGUUAUUAAAAUAAAUUUAAAAUUUGAUAAUUGUUUAUUUUAGGAAUGUAAAGCAUUUCAACAAAAAUGGUAAUAUUAUUGAAAAAAUAUAUGAAUUUGAUAAAAUCCAGUUCCUACUUUGCUUGCCUUUGUUUUGGGAAUUUAUUUUUUUAAACAGAGACUCUCUGCAGAGUUCAGGCUGCCCUUGAAUUCAAGGUUUAGCCCAGGCUGUCUUCAAACUUAAGGUGAUCUUUCUUUAGCCUCCCAAGUGCUGGGAUAAUGUGCCUGUACAGCCAUGCCCACCUAGUUCCUACUAUUUAUGUAUGCACAGCUAAGUAUAGUGAAUUAUAUAUUUAAUAUGGUAAAAAGCACAUAUUCAAAACACAAAAAACUAAGAAUUGCCUACCUAUUGAAAAAAAAAUUAUUUCCUCAAAAACCUGGAGCAAUCAUUGCAACUUUAGUGUAUCUAAGCAAUUCUUAUAUGAGCAAUAAGGCAUUAAAAUAAGUGAUCAUAAAUACUGGAAAGGAAAAGCCAGAGAAUUUUUUAAAAACUAUUUUUGCAGAGCAGUUUCAAGUCCAAAACAAAACUGAGCCGAAAAUACAGAGAUUUCCCAUAUAGCCAUGCCCCCAUUUCUGUACCACCCUGCCCAGCCACUUAGUAAGAUUGCCCACCAGGGUGGUACAUUGUUAAAAUUGAUGAACGUUCAUUAACACUCCCAAAUCUCUAAUUCAGAGAUUUGAAUAGGAUCUAUUUAGG
RNAcentral lists this long non-coding RNA (2079 nucleotides) under Cavia porcellus (domestic guinea pig). Its description in RNAcentral is "lncRNA (ENSCPOG00000035628.1)". The record is from RNAcentral. Lineage: Eukaryota; Metazoa; Chordata; Mammalia; Rodentia; Caviidae.